CAGCCGCCGCGGUAAUACGUAGGGUCCGAGCGUUGUCCGGAAUUAUUGGGCGUAAAGGGCUCGUAGGCGGUUUGUCGCGUCGGGAGUGAAAACCAGCAGCUUAACUGCUGGCCUGCUUUCGAUACGGGCAGACUUGAGGCAUUCAGGGGAGAACGGAAUUCCUGGUGUAGCGGUGAAAUGCGCAGAUAUCAGGAGGAACACCGGUGGCGAAGGCGGUUCUCUGGGAAUGUUCUGACGCUGAGGAGCGAAAGUGUGGGGAGCGAACAGGAUUAGAUACCCCUGUAGUCCCUGUCUCUUAUAC
RNAcentral lists this ribosomal RNA (301 nucleotides) under uncultured bacterium. RNAcentral's name for it is "partial 16S ribosomal RNA". It matches the Rfam family "Bacterial small subunit ribosomal RNA", at positions 509 to 807 of the family's 1533-position model. The record is from RNAcentral.